Molecule: long non-coding RNA, 850 nt
Organism: Raphanus sativus (radish)
Lineage: Eukaryota; Viridiplantae; Streptophyta; Magnoliopsida; Brassicales; Brassicaceae
Exons: 2
Source: RefSeq, a predicted model, not a curated record
UAAACAUUUUGGAAGUCACAUCUCAAAAUAUUAAAAUUUAUAACCUAUUAGGAUCCAUCAAAUUUUCACUUCGACACAAAUACUAAUCUAGCAAAAAGAAAGAAAUAAUGAAAAUGUUGAAAGCUGUCAAAAUAAUAAUAAUAAAAAGAUGAGAUCUGAGCGCUAAGUUCUCAUUGGCUGAUUUGCAAAUGGCAUGGAUCAGCUUUUACGCUUGAUCAUACACCGUUAGAUGAACUUAAUCUAACGGAUUAAAUCAUUUUACUCUUUUUUUUCUUCUAUCUUAUUCUUUCUCUUCCUUACGAAUCUCUGUCUCCUUCUUUUCUCCACUUUCUCGAUCUGAAAUAUAUCUGAGAAAAUUUGAGAAAUGAUGGCUAGAAGAAGAAGCGGUGGCGUGACGAAGUCACCUCGUCGGAGGUGUUAGCGUGAUGAAGCGGAGUCGCCGGAAGUGGACGCAUGACGAUUCGGAGUCCCAGAGUCACUCGUCACCACAACCUUCAGUCUCUCUCUCAGUCAUAGUAUGGUAAACAGAUUUAGUAGCCUGAGGAGACGAAGCAAAAGGCUGACGGCGGUGGUCUAGGACCCCGUGGUUCUCUCCGCCGAGAGGGAGAAGAAAGAAGAAGUGGACGACAUCGUUGGCAGAUCCCGAGCUCUCUCCGCUGCGUCUCCAGUCACGCUCUUUGAGGGCGCCGCUGCUCACCUAGCCGGCUUUGACGGAAAAGACACAUGCGGCUGAGAAGAUUAGAUCUAGGUUUUUCUUUUGUGUUUAGGCUUCUUUUCUUUUUAAAAAAUUGGGUUUAAUCUUUUGUAAUACAAUUUUAAUUUAUAAAUCAAGUUUAAUUUAUAAUUGCAA